Molecule: ribosomal RNA, 975 nt
Filed under: Triticum aestivum (bread wheat)
Lineage: Eukaryota; Viridiplantae; Streptophyta; Magnoliopsida; Poales; Poaceae
Description: partial small subunit ribosomal RNA
Source: RNAcentral
AUGGCCUGGACCGGAGACAACCUAGUCGACCUUAUCUCAGACAUCCUCGUGGCUCCACGCGAGGUACGCGCCCGUCGUCUUUCUCUCAGCACGCUUUGCCGUCACUCGGGCGACCGAGACCGCUACCCCAUCUUCGACCGCUGGUUCCGAUCGAAGGUUCUCGAUCAGCUCCAGGAUUUUCAUUUCAGCUACCAGCGGGUGAACAACACCGAACAACUUCAGGCUGGCGAGACGAUGCCGCCGUCCGCGCUGAGCUUUUCCUCCCUCCGUGUCGCCAGCUUUGGGUGCUGCCAUUUCCCUGAGAAUAUCUUAGCCUCGGGCGGCAUUACUUUCCCACAUCUCGUCGAGCUCAGUCUCUCCCGGAUCACAAACUCCGAGAACACACUCCACGCCAUGAUCGCCGCAUCUCCAAAUCUUUUCAGCUUGUACCUUCACAGAAACUAUCACUUCCGCCGCGUCCACAUCACCUCGCAAACUAUUGUAAGGUUCCGCAUGUUCAUUGACCCAGACAGUGAUGUGAUGGAAGAACUCCUCAUUGUCAACACUUCAAGCCUAGAGGAAGUGAUGCUCUGGGACCAAGGUUAUUCUGGCCCACGAAUCAUACGUGUCCUCGUUGCCCCAAAACUUCACAUGUUGGGUUGUCUGCACAGCGACAUGAUGUCCACCGUACAGCUUGGGAAGACAAUGCUCCAGGCAAUGGUUGACAGCAGUCCAGUGUCAUGCCUGCAUAAUGUAAAGAUCUUGAAGCUCGUUCUCCAUGGUCUUAGAUUAAAUCAUGUCAUUGACGUCCUCCAAUGCUUUCCCUGCUUACAACAGCUUCACAUAAAUACAUUGAUGAGCCAUGUUCCAAACAAGCAGAACGACAAUCCAGCUGCUACUACUGUUGAGUGUGUUGAUAGACAUUUAAAGCAAGUAGUAGUGAGAAAUUAUUCAGGCAAGAAACAUGAUUAUAACUUUGCCAAGUUUUUGUUUUGA